RNAcentral lists this long non-coding RNA (2063 nucleotides) under Glycine max (soybean). RNAcentral describes it as "long non-coding RNA (GMAX_LNC002922)". Lineage: Eukaryota; Viridiplantae; Streptophyta; Magnoliopsida; Fabales; Fabaceae. The record is from RNAcentral.
UUCCAAUCCUCUUCUUCUAAGGAGGCUCUGGUCCUCGAAACCAGAACAAGCUUUUGCUUAUCAAAAUGUUUUGAAAAUUGGCAAAUCAACGUCUUCCUUUCUCAGUUUAAUUUUGUAAUGCUUGCUGCCUUGCUGUAAAGUUUUUUUGUUGUCCCUGAUUGGUUGGAAGAUAACAGUAUUUAAACUCUGAUGUACCUGUCUCCUCCAGGUUCAAUCUAAUCAUGAUAUUGGUACAAAGUAACUCUGUUGGAAACCGAGAACACACACAAGAUGAUUAUUCUCCUCCUAACACGAUUUAUUUCAUAUCUAAGGGCUAACCAGGAAUCGAUCCCUCGACUACUUGGUAAAGGAAUACAAUUCACUACCACUUGUGUCAACCCACUGUAAGUAUGAUAAAAUAGCCAAAGACAAGUAAAACUAGCCAAAGCAUAUGAUAAAAUAGUUUCCCCAAGCUCGGAAGAAUUUUAUAAUUGAUGAAAUUAAGAGUAGAACCUUGAUCUGCUUGUUUGUGUUAAACUUACUCCAGGGUCAAUAUAUGUAGUUUUUACAUUGCAGUCAUGCACAUUUCAUUAACUUUUGUACACGGAGAUGAAUGAUCAAAUAUUAAUGGUAUAGCCUGAUAUUGAGCUGUCUAAGCCAUAUCGAAUGAAGAAUCAUAUGAAACACAUUAAACGACUUGGCUGGUCGAUUCAACACAAAAUGUCUUUGAACUUUCAUCACUCUCUUCUGUAAUUUCAAGUACUUAGCAUGUGGAACAUUUUUCAGCAUUGUCUUGAUUUCAGCUAUCCUUCUCGAGGGAAUAUGCAAUGAGAAUUUACUCCUGUCAAGAACAUCACUAAAGGGAAGUUGAUAGUAAUCUGAAACAAUUACAGGGACACAUCCUAUAUUGAUGGACUCCACAAUCCGAGGACUUGCCACUUCAUAGCCACUUGGGCACAAACAAAACUUGCUUUGUCCCAUGAGACCGUGGUAGUCAACGCCUUUGGGAAGAUAUUCAUGCACUUGAACUUCUUCAUCUUUGUCUUUCCAAUGUUGUAGUAGUAUCUCCCUAAUCCUACCAUGAACCCCUCCAGCAAAAAAAGCAAGUAUAGAACGAUUAUUAGGGUCAAGGCCAAGAAUUGGUGAACUCAACUUAAAACCUUGUAAGUUCACUUCAGGCAUUGGCACAUCUUUUUCAGGCUUAAAUCCUUCUGACUUGUUGGCAUUAUAUAACACUCUUAUGGAUAAACAGGUCAAUACAAUAACAAACUCCUUAAAUGUAAGGGUAAAAAUCACGGGUCAUUCAGACCAAAGAAAUAACUCUACUAUAAUCAAUAAAGGUACAAGAAAGUCUUCAAUAAGUACACUGGAACGUGCUACAAACCAUCAAAUCAAAACAAAGCACAAAUACUUACAAGAAAUAAAAGAAGAUGAAAUCCAAGGGAGAAUAGGAAACACUUAUUAUGUUCUUGAAAAGCUCUUUGCCUGAUUCCGCUCGUGAGAUAUCUGGUGGUGCCUGCAACAAAUGAAACAUAUAUUACCCCAUAUUUUGCAUCUAACAUCACAAAAUUAAAUAGACUAAAUUUAUAAUUUGGUAUUCUAAAUCGAUAAUUGAUGCUUAUUUAUGUUCACUUUGAAUAAACUUCUUCAUAAACAUACGAAAGAAAACUGUAAGCUUUUUUUAAAAAAAAAAAAUUCUAUAAGCUAAAAUCAACUUACUCACAUUAGUUUUUAGAGAAGUAAAAAGAAAGAGUUUCUAUAAAAUUAAAUGCAUAAAUUGUUUUUAACUUGUAGGAAAAGUUGAAGUUGUUUUGCUUAUUUAUUUUCUUCUUUUAUGAGUACUUAGGAAAAAAAUAAUCGACAAAGAUUAAUCUUAAUGACAUUUUUUUUUUGAAGUAUAUGAUGUGAAUUGUUACCCAGUCAUGACAAGAGGCUAGAAAAUGAUCUGCUCCUCUGGUCCUGUUCCAGUAUGGGUACCUGUGGGCGAUGAUGUUGGUAUAAUCAAUGGUGAUCCACAUCAAUUGAUCACGAGAGUAGGUGGUGAGAGGGUUGUAUACAUAUCGCACAAUUUGGGCCACACUUAU